UGAUGACCCAAAGAUUGAUUUAAAGAUUGAUUUUGAUGAUCACAAAACCUUGAAGCAUAAAUACUAAUGUUUGUGUUGCAAGGAGAAAGAUACUUAUUUUGCAAGGAACAUAGCAAGUUGGAAGAACACAAGAAGGCCUCCAAAGCUCUCAAGAAAAGUUGGAAGAAAGUUACACUUCAUUGGCCCAAGUUUCAAGUUCAAAGGACUCAAGUUGGAAGAGCAAAUUCAAAGGAAAAUCCAAAAGAAUAGUCCUCGAGUCGACUCCUGGAUAGUACGAGUCGACUCCAGGGAGUAACAAGGCAGAAACACAGAGAAGCUAUUUUGGACCCUGAGAGCCGAGUCGACUCCUGAGGAACUCGA
This 360-nucleotide long non-coding RNA is filed under the name Phoenix dactylifera (date palm). Its description in RNAcentral is "long non-coding RNA (PDAC_LNC006906)". Lineage: Eukaryota; Viridiplantae; Streptophyta; Magnoliopsida; Arecales; Arecaceae. The record is from RNAcentral.